RNAcentral lists this ribosomal RNA (253 nucleotides) under uncultured bacterium. Its description in RNAcentral is "partial 16S ribosomal RNA". It matches the Rfam family "Bacterial small subunit ribosomal RNA", at positions 524 to 776 of the family's 1533-position model. The record is from RNAcentral.
UACGUAGGGUGCAAGCGUUGUCCGGAAUCAUUGGGCGUAAAGAGCGCGUAGGCGGCCCUGUAAGUCCGCUGUGAAAGUCAAGGGCUCAACCCUUGAAUGCCGGUGGAUACUGCAGGGCUAGAGUCCGGAAGAGGCGAGUGGAAUUCCUGGUGUAGCGGUGAAAUGCGCAGAUAUCAGGAGGAACACCGAUGGCGAAGGCAGCUCGCUGGGACGUUACUGACGCUGAGACGCGAAAGCGUGGGGAGCAAACAGG